RNAcentral lists this ribosomal RNA (433 nucleotides) under uncultured bacterium. Its description in RNAcentral is "partial 16S ribosomal RNA". It matches the Rfam family "Bacterial small subunit ribosomal RNA", at positions 29 to 507 of the family's 1533-position model. The record is from RNAcentral.
AACGAACGCUGGCGGCAUGCCUAACACAUGCAAGUCGAACGAGACCUUCGGGUCUAGUUGCGCACGGGGGCGUAACGCGGGGGAACCUGCCCUUAGGUUCGGUAUAACUCCCCGAAAGGGGUCCUAAUACCGGAUAAUGUCUUCCGACCAAAGAUCUCUCGCCUUUGGAUGGGCCCGCGUUGGAUUAGCUGGUUGGUAGGGUACAAGCCUACCAAGGCGACGAUACAUAGCUGGUCUGGGAGGAUGGUCAGCCACGCUGGGACUGAGACACGGGCCAGACUCCUGCGGGAGGCAGCAGUAGGGAAUAUUGGACGAUGGGCGAAAGCCUGAUCCAGCACUGCCGCGUGAGUGAUGAAGGCGUUAGGGUUGUCAAGCUCUUUUACCCGGGAUGAUAAUGACAGUACCGGGAGAAUAAGCCCCGGCUAACUCCGUG